AGUAAAGUAGUCUAAUGAAGGACAGAAGACCUAUGAUUUUCAAGUGUUAUUUACUAACCUUUACCU
Molecule: transfer RNA, 66 nt
Filed under: Mytilus edulis (blue mussel)
Lineage: Eukaryota; Metazoa; Mollusca; Bivalvia; Mytilida; Mytilidae
Description: tRNA-Met
Source: RNAcentral